RNAcentral lists this ribosomal RNA (449 nucleotides) under uncultured bacterium. Its description in RNAcentral is "partial 16S ribosomal RNA". It matches the Rfam family "Bacterial small subunit ribosomal RNA", at positions 29 to 523 of the family's 1533-position model. The record is from RNAcentral.
AACGAACGCUGGCGGCAUGCCUAACACAUGCAAGUCGAACGAGAUCUUCGGGUCUAGUGGCGCACGGGCGCGUAACGCGUGGGAAUCUGCCCUUUGGUUCGGAAUAACAGUUAGAAACGACUGCUAAUACCGGAUGAUGACGAAAGUCCAAAGAUUUAUCGCCAGAGGAUGAGCCCGCGUAGGAUUAGCUAGUUGGUGUGGUAAAGGCGCACCAAGGCGACGAUCCUUAGCUGGUCUGAGAGGAUGAUCAGCCACACUGGGACUGAGACACGGCCCAGACUCCUACGGGAGGCAGCAGUGGGGAAUAUUGGACAAUGGGCGAAAGCCUGAUCCAGCAAUGCCGCGUGAGUGAUGAAGGCCUUAGGGUUGUAAAGCUCUUUUACCCGGGAUGAUAAUGACAGUACCGGGAGAAUAAGCUCCGGCUAACUCCGUGCCAGCCGCCGCCGUAA